Molecule: transfer RNA, 74 nt
Filed under: bacterium
Lineage: Bacteria
Description: tRNA-Trp
Rfam family: tRNA
About the family: Transfer RNA (tRNA) molecules are approximately 80 nucleotides in length. Their secondary structure includes four short double-helical elements and three loops (D, anti-codon, and T loops). Further hydrogen bonds mediate the characteristic L-shaped molecular structure. tRNAs have two regions of fundamental functional importance: the anti-codon, which is responsible for specific mRNA codon recognition, and the 3' end, to which the tRNAs corresponding amino acid is attached (by aminoacyl-tRNA synthetases). tRNAs cope with the degeneracy of the genetic code in two manners: having more than one tRNA (with a specific anti-codon) for a particular amino acid; and 'wobble' base-pairing, i.e. permitting non-standard base-pairing at the 3rd anti-codon position.
Source: RNAcentral
GGGCGUGUCGGUUAAUGGUAAACUAUCUGUCUCCAAAACAGAAACUGGGGGUUCGAUUCCCUCCACGCCUGCCA